RNAcentral lists this non-coding RNA (25 nucleotides) under Cricetulus griseus (Chinese hamster). The record is from RNAcentral. Lineage: Eukaryota; Metazoa; Chordata; Mammalia; Rodentia; Cricetidae.
UUGGUUGUGAAGGACUGUGAACGGG